This 253-nucleotide ribosomal RNA is filed under the name uncultured bacterium. RNAcentral's name for it is "partial 16S ribosomal RNA". It matches the Rfam family "Bacterial small subunit ribosomal RNA", at positions 524 to 776 of the family's 1533-position model. The record is from RNAcentral.
GACGAACCGAGCGAACGUUAUUCGGAAUCACUGGGCUUAAAGGGCGCGUAGGCGGGCGGCCAAGUCAGGGGUGAAAGCCCCCAGCUCAACUGGGGAAGUGCCUCUGAUACUGGUCAUCUCGAGGGAGAUAGGGGCGUGCGGAACUUCCGGUGGAGCGGUGAAAUGCGUAGAUAUCGUAAGGAAGACCAGUGGCGAAGGCGGAUCUCUGGACAGCUACUGACACUGAGGCACGAAGGCCAGGGGAGCAAACGGG